Molecule: small RNA, 1032 nt
Filed under: Pan troglodytes (chimpanzee)
Lineage: Eukaryota; Metazoa; Chordata; Mammalia; Primates; Hominidae
Description: processed transcript
Source: RNAcentral
AGCGGGCCGGGGUGCGGAGCCGACAUGCGCCCGCUGCUCGGCCUCCUUCUGGUCUUCGCCGGCUGCACCUUCGCCUUGUACUUGCUGUCGACGCGACUGCCCCGCGGGCGGAGACUGGGCUCCACCGAGGAGGCUGGAGGCAGGUCGCUGUGGUUCCCCUCCGACCUGGCAGAGCUGCGGGAGCUCUCUGAGGUCCUUCGAGAGUACCGGAAGGAGCACCAGGCCUACGUGUUCCUGCUCUUCUGCGGCGCCUACCUCUACAAACAGGGCUUUGCCAUCCCCGGCUCCAGCUUCCUGAAUGUUUUAGCUGGUGCCUUGUUUGGGCCAUGGUUGGGGCUUCUGCUGUGCUGUGUGUUGACCUCGGUGGGUGCCACAUGCUGCUACCUGCUCUCCAGUAUUUUUGGCAAACAGUUGGUGGUGUCCUACUUUCCUGAUAAAGUGGCCCUGCUGCAGAGAAAGGUGGAGGAGAACAGAAACAGCUUGUUUUUUUUCUUAUUGUUUUUGAGACUUUUCCCCAUGACACCAAACUGGUUCUUGAACCUCUCGGCCCCGAUUCUGAACAUUCCCAUCGUGCAGUUCUUCUUCUCAGUUCUUAUCGAGGCAAGGUCUUGCUAUGUUGCUCAGACUGAUCUUGAACUCCUGACCCUAAAGUGAUCCUCCUGCCUCAGCCUCCCAAAGUGCUGGGAUUGCAGCUUGCCCAGAGACAUCUGAGUCUUCACACGGCGCACGGCACACUCCUUGUCAGAGAGCCCAUCCGAGUGUGAGGAUAUGUCAAUGGGAAUCUCUGGCGUCUGGGACAGCAGGUCGUCUAGCUUCUCUGAGAAGCAGUCUUCAAGUUUAUCAGCUAACUCAUCGGGACUGUUUGAGUGGUCACUGGUAUUUCCCUCUUCUCCAUCGGACACAGAGAAAUUCUCAGAGCUAAAGGUUGAAUAUGACUGGCAGCUGCUGAUACAGCGAUGGGGCCUAGAACCAAGAAGAACCAGGAGAACUUAGUCAGAGGAACUGCUUUUCUUUCCUUAUCUGUCACUCAUA